UACGUAGGUGGCAAGCGUUGUUCGGAUUUACUGGGCGUAAAGAGCGCGCAGGCGGUCGUUCAAGUCGCGUGUGAAAGCCCCCGGCUCAACUGGGGAGGGUCACGCGAUACUGAUCGACUCGAAGGCAGGAGAGGGAAGUGGAAUUCCCGGUGUAGUGGUGAAAUGCGUAGAUAUCGGGAGGAACACCAGUGGCGAAGGCGGGUCUCUGGACAGUUCCUGACCCUGAGGCACGAAGGCUAGGGGAGCAAACGGG
Molecule: ribosomal RNA, 253 nt
Filed under: uncultured bacterium
Lineage: Bacteria
Description: partial 16S ribosomal RNA
Rfam family: Bacterial small subunit ribosomal RNA
Source: RNAcentral